GUUCAAUUCUCUUUUAUUGGCUGAAAACAAUUUUAUUACCGCCACUUACAUUCAAUUUGUAUGAAUGCAACUUAGUUGUAUGUACUUUGCAACCAUAACUAUAUUUUCUAGCGUUUGUUGUUGUAGUUUGUGCGAAAUUGAAAAAUAAAAACUAUUUAAGGAUGUUCGCUCAUCUUGUUUUCUAGUUUUUGCCAUAUUUUC
This 201-nucleotide long non-coding RNA is filed under the name Mytilus galloprovincialis (Mediterranean mussel). Lineage: Eukaryota; Metazoa; Mollusca; Bivalvia; Mytilida; Mytilidae. The record is from RNAcentral.